RNAcentral lists this ribosomal RNA (1551 nucleotides) under Limosilactobacillus fermentum. RNAcentral describes it as "bacterial SSU rRNA". It matches the Rfam family "Bacterial small subunit ribosomal RNA". Lineage: Bacteria; Bacillati; Bacillota; Bacilli; Lactobacillales; Lactobacillaceae. The record is from RNAcentral.
GCGAUGCAUCUAGAUUAGAGUUUGAUCCUGGCUCAGGAUGAACGCCGGCGGUGUGCCUAAUACAUGCAAGUCGAACGCGUUGGCCCAAUUGAUUGAUGGUGCUUGCACCUGAUUGAUUUUGGUCGCCAACGAGUGGCGGACGGGUGAGUAACACGUAGGUAACCUGCCCAGAAGCGGGGGACAACAUUUGGAAACAGAUGCUAAUACCGCAUAACAGCGUUGUUCGCAUGAACAACGCUUAAAAGAUGGCUUCUCGCUAUCACUUCUGGAUGGACCUGCGGUGCAUUAGCUUGUUGGUGGGGUAACGGCCUACCAAGGCGAUGAUGCAUAGCCGAGUUGAGAGACUGAUCGGCCACAAUGGGACUGAGACACGGCCCAUACUCCUACGGGAGGCAGCAGUAGGGAAUCUUCCACAAUGGGCGCAAGCCUGAUGGAGCAACACCGCGUGAGUGAAGAAGGGUUUCGGCUCGUAAAGCUCUGUUGUUAAAGAAGAACACGUAUGAGAGUAACUGUUCAUACGUUGACGGUAUUUAACCAGAAAGUCACGGCUAACUACGUGCCAGCAGCCGCGGUAAUACGUAGGUGGCAAGCGUUAUCCGGAUUUAUUGGGCGUAAAGAGAGUGCAGGCGGUUUUCUAAGUCUGAUGUGAAAGCCUUCGGCUUAACCGGAGAAGUGCAUCGGAAACUGGAUAACUUGAGUGCAGAAGAGGGUAGUGGAACUCCAUGUGUAGCGGUGGAAUGCGUAGAUAUAUGGAAGAACACCAGUGGCGAAGGCGGCUACCUGGUCUGCAACUGACGCUGAGACUCGAAAGCAUGGGUAGCGAACAGGAUUAGAUACCCUGGUAGUCCAUGCCGUAAACGAUGAGUGCUAGGUGUUGGAGGGUUUCCGCCCUUCAGUGCCGGAGCUAACGCAUUAAGCACUCCGCCUGGGGAGUACGACCGCAAGGUUGAAACUCAAAGGAAUUGACGGGGGCCCGCACAAGCGGUGGAGCAUGUGGUUUAAUUCGAAGCUACGCGAAGAACCUUACCAGGUCUUGACAUCUUGCGCCAACCCUAGAGAUAGGGCGUUUCCUUCGGGAACGCAAUGACAGGUGGUGCAUGGUCGUCGUCAGCUCGUGUCGUGAGAUGUUGGGUUAAGUCCCGCAACGAGCGCAACCCUUGUUACUAGUUGCCAGCAUUAAGUUGGGCACUCUAGUGAGACUGCCGGUGACAAACCGGAGGAAGGUGGGGACGACGUCAGAUCAUCAUGCCCCUUAUGACCUGGGCUACACACGUGCUACAAUGGACGGUACAACGAGUCGCGAACUCGCGAGGGCAAGCAAAUCACUUAAAACCGUUAUCAGUUCGGACUGCAGGCUGCAACUCGCCUGCACGAAGUCGGAAUCGCUAGUAAUCGCGGAUCAGCAUGCCGCGGUGAAUACGUUCCCGGGCCUUGUACACACCGCCCGUCACACCAUGAGAGUUUGUAACACCCAAAGUCGGUGGGGUAACCUUUUAGGAGCCAACCGCCUAAGGUGGGACAGAUGAUUAGGGUGAAGUCGUAACAAGGUAA